CCAUUGCAAAAACAAUUGGUCCUCUAAAAUUCAGAAUUAGUUUGAGUAUAUCCUGUUAAUGUUGAUUUUAUAAGAGAAACUGUAAUAUAUAAAAUUAGCCAUCUGUAAAAUAUUUAGUGCAAGAUUAGUAAAUUAUAAAUGUUAACAAAACUUAAAUGAAUAUAUCAAAAUUUUCUGAAAUUCUGUGAUUAUUAGAAGAAAAGAAGUCUUUUUCUCCUAAUAAUAAACUCAUCAAAAGUAUAUCUGCAAGAGGGCUCCCAAUUAGCACAUGUUUCUUCUAGAGGAAUUGCCUUACCAGUUUACUCUUACCAGCUUUUAAAACAGAAUUAUGCCUUAUAAAAGAUAUGUGGAUGAUAUCAUAAUUAUCAAAGGAGAAUUUAGGACUAGUAAAAGAUGUAAAAUAUCUUCCAUCAGAUCAACAGCUGGGAUUAUGUUUAAAGAAACAAAAGCAAAUGACUUAGAAAUAAAAUACUUUGGUUUGAAAAUUAAAAUCAUUGAUGGAGAGUAUAUGAAGAAUGCUUUUAGAAAAAGCACCUAUGUUUUUUGUUUAUUAAGAAUACAGUGAAAAGAUACAAAAUGGCUGCCUUCAAUAUACUCCUAUAUAGAAUUCUUACACACUGCAACAACCAACAAAUGAUACAGCAAGAGCUAGCAUGGAUUUUAGAACAAGUGUAAAUAUAUGGAUAUAAAAGGAAGCACAUAUUAAAAUGAUGGGCAAAGAUUAAAUCAAAAGGUCCCAUAACAAGAUUGUUAAAGAAUGAAGAUGAUCAAAAAAUGGACACAGUACUGUAUAUUAUUGACAUUAACCCAUCUCCUUGAAAUACAAGAAAAAUAUUAGAAAAUCAUUCCAGGAAAAAUUAAUGUUUAGUAGAAAGACUAACUUAUUUAAUACAUUAAGAAACAAUAAUGAUCAUAUAAAACAGGAAAAGAAGUUAGAUGUUUAUCAAAUUCCUGUUAUGAAUAAUGAUACUGGAUAGGAAGAAGUCUAUUUAGGAUAUAUUUCAAGAUCAUUAGAGAGAAGAAUAUUAGGACAUAAGAAGGACAUUGAGCAUAAACAGUCAUAAUUCCUCAGCUUGAUUCAGCUUGGUUAUAAUGAUUUAGAACAGCAAUUUUCAACCUAUGGUAUGCACGAUGGACUUACAGGUG
Molecule: long non-coding RNA, 1146 nt
Filed under: Androctonus crassicauda
Lineage: Eukaryota; Metazoa; Arthropoda; Arachnida; Scorpiones; Buthidae
Source: RNAcentral